UACGAAGGGUGCUAGCGUUGCUCGGAAUCACUGGGCGUAAAGGGUGCGUAGGCGGGUCUUUAAGUCAGGGGUGAAAUCCUGGAGCUCAACUCCAGAACUGCCUUUGAUACUGAGGAUCUUGAGUUCGGGAGAGGUGAGUGGAACUGCGAGUGUAGAGGUGAAAUUCGUAGAUAUUCGCAAGAACACCAGCGGCGAAGGCGGCUCACUGGCCCGAUACUGACGCUGAGGCACGAAAGCGUGGGGAGCAAACAGG
This 253-nucleotide ribosomal RNA is filed under the name uncultured bacterium. RNAcentral describes it as "partial 16S ribosomal RNA". It matches the Rfam family "Bacterial small subunit ribosomal RNA", at positions 524 to 776 of the family's 1533-position model. The record is from RNAcentral.